Triticum aestivum (bread wheat) is the source of this 121-nucleotide non-coding RNA. The record is from Rfam. Lineage: Eukaryota; Viridiplantae; Streptophyta; Magnoliopsida; Poales; Poaceae.
CAAAUACUCCCUCCGUCCGGAAAUACUUGUCUUAGGAAUGGUUGUAUCUAGACUUAUUUUAGUUAGUUAUAGAUACAUCCAUCUUCAACCAUUUUUAAGACACGGACGGAGGGAGUAUUAC